This 476-nucleotide ribosomal RNA is filed under the name uncultured bacterium. RNAcentral describes it as "partial 16S ribosomal RNA". It matches the Rfam family "Bacterial small subunit ribosomal RNA", at positions 30 to 506 of the family's 1533-position model. The record is from RNAcentral.
AUUGAACGCUGGCGGCAUGCCUUACACAUGCAAGUCGAACGGUAACAGGUUAAGCUGACGAGUUGCGAACGGGUGAGUAAUGUAUCGGAACGUGCCCAGUCGUGGGGGAUAACUUCUCGAAAGAGCAGCUAAUACCGCAUACGACCUGAGGGUGAAAGCGGGGGAUCGCAAGACCUCGCGCGAUUGGAGCUGCCGAUAUCAGAUUAGGUAGUUGGUGAGGUAAAGGCUCACCAAGCCGACUAUCUGUAGCUGGUCUGAGAGGACGACCAGCAACACUGAGAGUGAGACAGGGCCCAGACACCUACGGGAGGCAGAAGUGGGGAAAUUUGGAAAAUGGGCGAAAGACUGAUCCAGCCAGGCCGCGUGCGGGAAGAAGGCCUUCGGGUUGUAAACCGCUUUUGUCAGGGAAGAAAAGGUUCUGGCUAAUACCUGGGACUCAUGACGGUACCUGAAGAAUAAGCACCGGCUAACUACGU